RNAcentral lists this non-coding RNA (339 nucleotides) under Brugia pahangi. RNAcentral's name for it is "Eukaryotic small subunit ribosomal RNA". It matches the Rfam family "Eukaryotic small subunit ribosomal RNA", at positions 44 to 430 of the family's 1831-position model. Lineage: Eukaryota; Metazoa; Nematoda; Chromadorea; Rhabditida; Onchocercidae. The record is from Rfam by way of RNAcentral.
CUAAGCUAUGUAUAUCUAAGUUCAAAUUAACUUAUAAAAACUGAAAUAAUGAAUGGCUCAAUUCUAAUAGCUAUAACACUUUGUAUUGAUUAUUCUACGAGAAUAACUAUGGCAAUUUCAGAGCUAAUAGAAAUACCAAAGCAAUGACUUUUGGACGAGCGCACCUGUCACAUUAAAGUAAUCGAUCCGUUAAUUGGUGACACUGAAUAUUGUGUCGUGGACAGAUCCGUCAAUCUAAUUUAUUAACAUUGGGUGAUAUUUGUGACCAUUAACGGAGUAUAUGGGUUUGAUUCCGGAAAAAGAGACUAGGAAAGACUAUCACAUCGAAGGAAGAAAGCG